Molecule: ribosomal RNA, 373 nt
Filed under: uncultured organism
Description: partial 16S ribosomal RNA
Rfam family: Bacterial small subunit ribosomal RNA
Source: RNAcentral
GUAGGUGGCAAGCGUUGUCCGGAAUUAUUGGGCGUAAAGCGCGCGCAGGCGGUCCUUUAAGUCUGAUGCGAAAGCCCACGGCUCAACCGUGGAGGGUCAUUGGAAACUGGGGGACUUGAGUACAGAAGAGGAAAGCGGAAUUCCAAGUGUAGCGGUGAAAUGCGUAGAGAUUUGGAGGAACACCAGUGGCGAAGGCGGCUUUCUGGUCUGUAACUGACGCUGAGGCGCGAAAGCGUGGGGAGCAAACAGGGAUUAGAUACCCUGGUAGUCCACGCCGUAAACGAUGAGUGCUAAGUGUUAGGGGGUUUCCCGCCCCUUAGUGCUGCAGCUAACGCAUUAAGCACUCCGCCUGGGGAGUACGGCCGCAAGGCUG